GCCUCCCAAGCAGUUGCCCGUGUUUUAACGUCUUUGGCUCGACGUCAUGCCUCUCUUCUCAGCUUUAAUAGAUUGGAUCGUCUAGCUCCACCAUCUCAAUAUUUUCCACCUGAUGCCCCUCAUAGAAAGGCUUUAAUCUAUGUCCAUUCACCUUAAGGAUCUUGUUUGUACUAGGACUUUGAAUCUCAACUGCACCAUGAGGAAACACGUUAGUGAUAACAAAAGGACCAACCCAUCUAGAUCUCAAUUUACCUGGAAAUAACUUAAGCCGAGAAUGAUAUAACAAAACUUUUUGGCCCACAAUAAAAGUUUUCCGCAUAAUCUGCUUAUCAUGAAAAGCUUUGGUCUUUUCCUUGUAAAUUUUUGAACUUUCAUAGGCUUCAUUCCUCAAUUCUUCCAACUCUUGUA
This 408-nucleotide long non-coding RNA is filed under the name Panax ginseng (ginseng). Its description in RNAcentral is "long non-coding RNA (PGIN_LNC011483)". The record is from RNAcentral. Lineage: Eukaryota; Viridiplantae; Streptophyta; Magnoliopsida; Apiales; Araliaceae.